UACUCCUUAGUGUAACGGCAGCACAAGAGGCUCUGACCCUCUUGGUCUAGGUUCGAAUCCUGGGGGAGUAGC
RNAcentral lists this transfer RNA (72 nucleotides) under Streptomyces phage Stella. RNAcentral's name for it is "tRNA-Gln". It matches the Rfam family "tRNA". Rfam says of the family: Transfer RNA (tRNA) molecules are approximately 80 nucleotides in length. Lineage: Duplodnaviria; Heunggongvirae; Uroviricota; Caudoviricetes. The record is from RNAcentral.